Molecule: long non-coding RNA, 1027 nt
Organism: Gasterosteus aculeatus aculeatus (three-spined stickleback)
Lineage: Eukaryota; Metazoa; Chordata; Actinopteri; Perciformes; Gasterosteidae
Source: Ensembl
GGAACAAAGAUCAGGGUCUCAGGGUUCUCUGCUCCGGAGGAAAGUUGGGGAGGACCAGGAUGAACCCUGAAGUGUGUCUUCAUAGGACUCAAUAUGAGCCCUUUCCUCUGAUGUUUAGAUGACCAACCAGAUCUCCUUCCACAUUCCACUUAUCACAAACACACGAACACACGAACACACGCGUGUUUCCGGUGUCAGCGGAUAAUUCGGGGAUAUUCUGAUCUGUGUCACACUGGAAGUCUCUGAUCCAGUGACGCACGCUGGGCUCGGAUUGAGCGCUCCGGGAUCCGGUUAAAACGGAACAUUUGAGUGAGUUCCCGAGCUCCCUGCUCGCGCUCAACUACGCCGAACUGGAGGCUGUUCUCCAAGGAUACAGAAAAGGGUUAAUUAUCGGAAUAUUACAACACUCCGCGCACUAAUAAGCACGUGAAUGACUCCGCAUUGAAGCUACGCGAGGGGAGUUCGGAGCGCAGGAAAAACGGUCAAAUAGCGGCUGGAGUCUGGUGCGUUAACCGACGACCUUUAGACCGGAUCCGCCGGAGGUCUUCGCCCGAACCCUCGGACCACCAGGCUGUAAGAAACCCGACCUCGGCUCAGCUUCAGCGGACUUCCUCACCUGUUUUAGCGAAACGACGGCAGAAACUUUUCACUUUCUCGCGGCGGCAGUUUGAAGUUUUUUUCUCCUUUUGCUGAUAUUCCGGGAAAAUGCCGGUUCCUCCUCCGGGGACGAGGAUCUGCGAACGCGUCCGAACACAGUUCUGAUUUGAUGUCCGCAGUCGUGAACUUUCGGAUGUUUUAGUACUUUUGUCGGACUCCUCGCUAGUGACGCUCCUCCCGGUUUCCCUCCGCUCCCUGAAUGCCACAUUCUCUCCGCUACGUUGUCCCGAGCAUCAAGUUACACGGGACCACAACACAGCAUCCGGUCUAGACCUUCAAAUUGGUGGUGCGUUCAGGUGUGAGUGCAUCUGUAAACAUGUCAGAUGAAUAAAAAGGUGAGAAAUUCCACAACAAAUAAAUGAUUCCUGCU